GCGGAAGUGGUGGAAUGGCAGACACGCUAGGUUCAGGACCUAGUGAGCGCAAGCUCGUGGGGGUUCGAAUCCCCCCUUCCGCA
This 83-nucleotide transfer RNA is filed under the name bacterium. RNAcentral's name for it is "tRNA-Leu". It matches the Rfam family "tRNA". Rfam says of the family: Transfer RNA (tRNA) molecules are approximately 80 nucleotides in length. Their secondary structure includes four short double-helical elements and three loops (D, anti-codon, and T loops). Further hydrogen bonds mediate the characteristic L-shaped molecular structure. tRNAs have two regions of fundamental functional importance: the anti-codon, which is responsible for specific mRNA codon recognition, and the 3' end, to which the tRNAs corresponding amino acid is attached (by aminoacyl-tRNA synthetases). tRNAs cope with the degeneracy of the genetic code in two manners: having more than one tRNA (with a specific anti-codon) for a particular amino acid; and 'wobble' base-pairing, i.e. permitting non-standard base-pairing at the 3rd anti-codon position. The record is from RNAcentral. RNAcentral also lists the same sequence under 1 other name.